UACACGUCAGUUUUAGGUCCGCCGGCCGCAGCCGGUCACGUUUAAAGGGCCAGUACCCCGCGUUUCCUCUGGGCUACCCCUGGAGCGGGGAAGAUGGCUCUUGGAAGCAACGGGGAAGGCAGGAGGGACGAGGGUGAGGAGCCUCUCCUGCUCGCGGUAGAAAACCUGUUGCCAACGUAGUCGGAAGUCAAGAGUAUACCCCAUGGGGCUAAGGACACAGAGAUAUAUGUAUACAAGGCAUCCACACAAUGAGUCUGUGCCUUAAAGAAGGACAAAUGGCAAUUGGAGCACAUGGAAAGAGCAAUUAGUUGUGACCAGGGAAGUGCCUAAAAAGUCCAUGAGACAGCUUUGGAUAGUCUGGGGCAAUGACACUUGCAGGACCCUAUCUGUGGCUCUUUCCAAGCAGGUGAGUCACUUUUUCCUUUUCUUCCUGCUUCUCCCCUGACAGUGUAUCAGAAAU
Mustela erminea (ermine) is the source of this 460-nucleotide long non-coding RNA. RefSeq lists it as uncharacterized. The record is from RefSeq and is a predicted model, not a curated record. The transcript has 3 exons. Lineage: Eukaryota; Metazoa; Chordata; Mammalia; Carnivora; Mustelidae.